RNAcentral lists this transfer RNA (70 nucleotides) under Dipodomys ordii (Ord's kangaroo rat). It matches the Rfam family "tRNA". From Rfam's summary of the family: Transfer RNA (tRNA) molecules are approximately 80 nucleotides in length. Their secondary structure includes four short double-helical elements and three loops (D, anti-codon, and T loops). Further hydrogen bonds mediate the characteristic L-shaped molecular structure. tRNAs have two regions of fundamental functional importance: the anti-codon, which is responsible for specific mRNA codon recognition, and the 3' end, to which the tRNAs corresponding amino acid is attached (by aminoacyl-tRNA synthetases). tRNAs cope with the degeneracy of the genetic code in two manners: having more than one tRNA (with a specific anti-codon) for a particular amino acid; and 'wobble' base-pairing, i.e. permitting non-standard base-pairing at the 3rd anti-codon position. The record is from Rfam by way of RNAcentral. Lineage: Eukaryota; Metazoa; Chordata; Mammalia; Rodentia; Heteromyidae.
GGGAAUGUUACUUAGUAGUAGAGUGCUUGCCUAGCAUGCAUGAAGCCCUAGGUUCGAUUCCUCAGUACCA